Vicia villosa (hairy vetch) is the source of this 1497-nucleotide long non-coding RNA. RefSeq lists it as uncharacterized. The transcript is spliced from 8 exons. The record is from RefSeq and is a predicted model, not a curated record. Lineage: Eukaryota; Viridiplantae; Streptophyta; Magnoliopsida; Fabales; Fabaceae.
ACUAAGUUUUUUUCUCCUCUUUCUCUCUAAACCUUUUCUUCUUCCUUUCUUCCUCCGUUUCUCCUCGUCUAAAUAUAAAAAAAAAGCGAAAACAUACCUACGUUUCUCCUCUCGCAAAAUCAAAAUCAAAAUUGAAGCUUGUACUUCUCCGUUUCAGCUCUCGCAAAAUCAAUUUCUCGCAACUCGCAAAAAUCGAAGCUCGUACUUCUCCGUUUCUACUCUCGCAAAAUCAAUUUCUCACAACUCUCGCAAAAUCAAAGCUCGUACUUCUCUGUUUCUACUCUCGCAAAAUCAAUUUCUCACAACUCUCGCAAAAUCAAAGCUCGUACAGAUUGUUGAAGUUUUAUAGUUCAUUGGUAAGAAAGAAGGUCUGCAACUUCCUCCUACUUUUGCUGCUCGCAUAGCAGAGAAAUCUAACCGGAAUUUAAGGAGGGCCAUAUUGUCAUUUGAGACUUGCCGUGUCCAACAAUAAGCUCCACUAGCUUUCAAUUUAACAUGGGAUUCAUAAUCUCAUAUAUUAUUCUUUUAUCAAAGCUUUAAGGAAAACUAUUGAUAGCCCUUAUGCAUAUUGUCUUACUUGUAGGUAUCCUUUAACUGACAAGCAAACAAUUUCACCAAUGGACUGGGAAGAAUAUAUUUCUGAAAUUGCAUCUGACAUAAUGAAGGAACAAAGUCCAAAAAGGAUAUAGGAUAAGGGGAGUUUGCCUGCAUACCUACCUGAUAGUGUUGUCAACUAAUCUCUUGUUUUGAUUACAUACCAUGCACAUUUUUUCUCCCAUAUAAUAUGCUCUUUAUGUUUAUGCUGUUUCAAGUUCGGGGAAAGCUGUAUGAGUUGCUGAUCUAUUGCUUUCCUCCAGAGAAGUGUAUCGUGGUGAAUGGCAUGGAACUGAAGUUGCUGUAACUCGACUUCUAAAGUAAGUUAUGAUAUCAAAUAUAUGGAAGAAUUAAGAUUUAUGCGUCUGGAAUUGUGAUCUGAUUAUACAGCAGCUGCAAGCUAAGGCUAUCAAUUCAGAUAGGGCUGGUCUGGUGCAGCGAAAAAAGCCUACCCUUUUGCGGCUGAAAUGCAAUUCAGACACAUCUCUUGCAUGUCCUCAAAAUCAGAAAAUCGUUAUAGGUUUGGAAAAGUUGAAACAGAGACACCAGUUCAUUUGCCGCAACAAACAACUAGAUGUGCCAAAAUAUAAAGGUUUAGCUAAGCUAUACUUAGAAGAAUCAAGUGAAGGGUUUUCUAUGUCAAUGGUAAAAGAUGAAGAUGGGAGCCCGACCGGAUAUUCAGAACGAAGUUCUUUGUUGUUUUGCCCUUCCAGCUAGCUAGCAUGGAGAUUUGUUAUAUUUUAAGUUGUUGUGAAAUAUAUAUUUACAGUUUAGCUAAUCAUGAACCAACCACUCAUAGGAUGUCAUAAAAAGAUGUUUGAAUUCUGUCAUGAACCUACUUGUCUUUGUUCAACAUUACCAAAACUCAUUCAAAACAAUUGUCAACAAUAGAUAUUUGUAUCA